UCUCGUAUAGAUGAUGCCCAUCCAAAUGGCAUGAAACUCUACAUCGGAGAAGGUCGAGUCAAAAAAUUAUGACCCCCCUACCACCAAAAGCCUAGCAUUUAGGUCUUAGAUGACAUAACUUGAACCACCUUAUCAUCUCUGACACUGACGUCAAAGUUGAUCUUGACAAACCUCGAGAGAAACCUUCAUUGUAUACCAAUGCU
RNAcentral lists this long non-coding RNA (203 nucleotides) under Elaeis guineensis (African oil palm). RNAcentral describes it as "long non-coding RNA (EGUI_LNC028694)". Lineage: Eukaryota; Viridiplantae; Streptophyta; Magnoliopsida; Arecales; Arecaceae. The record is from RNAcentral.